CCUUCGGGCGGCAGCAGUCGAGAAUCUUUCGCAAUGGGCGAAAGCCUGACGAAGCGACGCCGUGUGAGCGAAGAAGGCCUUCGGGUUGUAAAGCUCUUUCGCUAGGGAACAAGGGAAGCAGGAUAAUACCCUGCUGACUUGAGGGUACUUGGUAAAGAAGCACCGGCUAACUCCGUGCCAGCAGCUGCGGUAAUACGGAGGGUGCAAGCAUGGAUCGGAAUUACUGGGCGGAAAGGGCGCGUAGGCGGCCAAAUUCCGGGGCUCAACCCCGGAGCUGCAUUUGAAACUUCUUGGCUAGAGGAUGGUUAGGGAAAACGGAAUUCCACGUGUAGCGGUGAAAUGCGUAGAUAUGUGGAAGAACACCGGUGGUGAAGACGGUUUUCUGGGCCAAACCUGACGCUGAGGCGCGAAAGCUAGGGGAGCAAACAGGAUUAGAUACCCUAGUAGUC
Molecule: ribosomal RNA, 449 nt
Filed under: uncultured bacterium
Lineage: Bacteria
Description: partial 16S ribosomal RNA
Rfam family: Bacterial small subunit ribosomal RNA
Source: RNAcentral